GUGAGGAAUAUUGCGCAAUGGAGGCAACUCUGACGCAGCCAUGCCGCGUGCAGGAAGAAGGCGCUACGCGUUGUAAACUGCUUUUAACCGGGAAGAAACCCCAGGACGUGUCCUGGGUUGACGGUACCGGAGGAAUAAGCACCGGCUAACUUCGUGCCAGCAGCCGCGGUAAUACGAAGGGUGCAAGCGUUAUCCGGAUUCAUUGGGUUUAAAGGGUGCGUAGGCGGAACGUUAAGUCAGUGGUGAAAUCCUGCAGCUUAACUGUAGACUUGCCAUUGAUACUGGCGCUCUUGAGUGCGCUUGAAGUGGGCGGAAUGUGCCGUGUAGCGGUGAAAUGCUUAGAUAUGGCACAGAACACCAAUUGCGAAGGCAGCUCACUAAGGCGAUACUGACGCUGAGGCACGAAAGCGUGGGGAUCGAACAGGAUUAGAUACCCCAGUAGUCC
RNAcentral lists this ribosomal RNA (445 nucleotides) under uncultured bacterium. Its description in RNAcentral is "partial 16S ribosomal RNA". It matches the Rfam family "Bacterial small subunit ribosomal RNA", at positions 354 to 796 of the family's 1533-position model. The record is from RNAcentral.